GACGAACGCUGGCGGCGUGCUUAACACAUGCAAGUCGAACGGAAAGGCCCUGCUUUUGUGGGGUGCUCGAGUGGCGAACGGGUGAGUAACACGUGAGUAACCUGCCCUUGACUUUGGGAUAACUUCAGGAAACUGGGGCUAAUACCGGAUAGGAGCUCCUGCUGCAUGGUGGGGGUUGGAAAGUUUCGGCGGUUGUGGAUGGACUCGAGGCUUAUCAGCUUGUUGGUGGGGUAGUGGCUUACCAAGGCUUUGACGGGUAGCCGGCCUGAGAGGGUGACCGGCCACAUUGGUACUGAGAUACGGCCCAGACUCCUACGGGAGGCAGCAGUGGGGAAUAUUGCACAACGGGCGGAAGCCUGAUGCAGCAACGCCGCGUGCGUGAUGACGGCCUUCGGGUUGUAAACCGCUUUCUCCUGUGACGAAGCGUGAGUGACGGUAAUGGGUAAAGAAGCACCGGCUAACUACGUG
This 468-nucleotide ribosomal RNA is filed under the name uncultured bacterium. Its description in RNAcentral is "partial 16S ribosomal RNA". It matches the Rfam family "Bacterial small subunit ribosomal RNA", at positions 28 to 507 of the family's 1533-position model. The record is from RNAcentral.